This 334-nucleotide unclassified non-coding RNA is filed under the name soil metagenome. RNAcentral's name for it is "partial contains 5.8S ribosomal RNA, internal transcribed spacer 2, and large subunit ribosomal RNA". The stretch from base 1 to 120 matches the Rfam family "5.8S ribosomal RNA", at positions 35 to 154 of the family's 154-position model. The record is from RNAcentral.
GAUGAAGAACGCAGCGAAAUGCGAUAAGUAAUGUGAAUUGCAGAAUUCAGUGAAUCAUCGAAUCUUUGAACGCACAUUGCGCCCGCCAGUAUUCUGGCGGGCAUGCCUGUUCGAGCGUCAUUUCAACCAUCAAGCCCCAGGCUUGUGUUGGGGACCUGCGGCUGCCGCAGGCCCUGAAAUGCAGUGGCGGGCUCGCUGUCACUCCGAGCGUAGUAGUUACAUCUCGCUCUGGGCGUGCUGCGGGUUCCGGCCGUUAAAAGCCUUAUUUACCCAAGGUUGACCUCGGAUCAGGUAGGAAGACCCGCUGAACUUAAGCAUAUCAAUAAGCGGAGGA